CCCCCGGGUGAGUGCCUGGACGGUGGCCCUGGCUGUGCUUCUGGUGCUCUUGGCUGUCACCUUGAUGAUCGCUGGUUUUCUCCUCCUGAGAUCUAGAAGAGCCCAAGAGAGAAUUACUAAAGAACGUGAACAAAGAAAACUUUCUGUGAAGAACU
Long non-coding RNA from Chinchilla lanigera (long-tailed chinchilla), 155 nucleotides. RefSeq lists it as uncharacterized. The record is from RefSeq and is a predicted model, not a curated record. The transcript has 3 exons. NCBI's taxonomy places the organism in Eukaryota, Metazoa, Chordata, Mammalia, Rodentia, Chinchillidae.